GAGGGACCUGAAACCAGACACAAUUCUGCUAUCUCUGUGACCUAGACAUAGUUUUUUUUCUUUUCUUUUUUUUUAUUCAUAGCCUCUGACCUGAUUUAGCAGCUUCAUCCCCCUGUAUUAUACUAAACUUUCUACCCAACACUUACACCAUGUGUCCAGCGUAUGUAUUACAGCUCCUCACAAAAAAAAAAAAAUGAGUUCAAUGGACCCACUCACAUGAAAAUGGUGUUUUUGUAGCAUUUUUCUCAGGAUGGAGGACAAAUAUGAAAAAAAUUGGGAUUAAAACUUCAUUUCUGAGUAUUUUUUUUAUUCAAAUCGUUAUGAAUCAGAAACAGACCCAAAAAUGCAGUUUGAAAAAGCUUGUUGCUGAUCUGGCAUCUGGCUCAAAACUGAACGACUGGAUAGCUCCAAUAUUGUUAGCUAUUUUUGUUGCAUCUGUAACAUUAGGUUGGAGUUGUAAAUUGCUUUGAUUUGAUUUGAAAUUAUUUCAAGCAAUCAAAAUGAAAAAUGCACAAAUCAAUACAAUCAGCAGUUAUACAUUCAUACAAACUUAGAAUAAUUAGACAUUAAAUUAAAGAUUGCUUCAAAGGGAGUGGAAGGAAGCGAACUUAUAUAAUCCCACCCCUGUUCUACCAUACCAUUUUCAUUACAUGAUUUAUCAUGCAAGGGGCUGUAAGUUACCGGUAGAGCUUGUCAACAGAUGGAUGACAGGAAGUGAGGCAGGGAACUGACAGUCCCGCCCACAACUCAGAGGCAAAUUUCUAAUGAACAAAUUUUUUUUAUUUUGGCUAAAAAUGGCAUAAUCAUAAUAAAAAAAAAACACUGGGAAGGCUUUUACAAUAGAUCAAAAGAUGAUCGGAGUGAGACUUCUAAAAAAAAGCACAAUAAAAGGACAAACUCUUUAGAUUUUUUAUUAUAUCAAAAUACAAAAAUUUGAGAGGAAAUUUUCAUAUGGGACUAAGUUCUUGAAAUGAUAUGGUGACAUGAGUACAACACUGUUUUCAUGUUCCCACAGACGUGCCAGAGAUAAGAGCAUAGAUCAUGUGCUAGGCCCAUGUCUACGUCACGUGGGCCACCAGGAGAGAGCCUGUGCAUUUUCCCUACAAAGGCUUUUGUGAUGGCGACUGUUGCUGUACAUCCAGGCCGGCGUGGUAUCAGACCAGAGGGUCAAAGAAAAAAAGAGCGAUCCAUGGCAGUUGAGCAUGAGGAGUGUGUGUAAGACAUGAGUUCACUUGACAGCAGAGCGAACAAGAGAAAACGUAAUACAAAUAUUGUACAUAAGGCUUUGGUGCAGCACCAUACAGUGGUUAAUUGCUCACAAAACGUUAAGUGAAGCUUAAAUAACCUUAUGUAGUGACAGAAAAGAAUGACACUUCUAAAAAAGAAAAUAGAAGACAAAACCAUUGGGUGAUCAUUUAAAAAAAGUUUUUAAAAACAGGAAAAGAAAAUCUCCCAGGUAUUUACAUAUAAACAUUAUGGUAAGCUGAUAUAAAAAUCAUAUACAGUAUGUAAACAUGUGAUGUACAGCACAGACAUAAGUGAAUGGAAGUUAAAUGAAAUGUCAAUUUUCUUUCUUCAAGCACUACUUGGUUUGUUUGAGUAUGAGCAUUUUAGCUAAAACAGUCAACGAUGUAGCGCUUAUUGUAGCCUACAAUAACUAUACAUUCUAAUUUCUCAGUGCUGAUACACAUGGAAAAACAGAGAAUACAGAAAAUACUACAUACUUCUAGUUUCCGUCCAGCAACAACCAGCUUGGAUGUCCACGAUUGAUUGCUUAAUAGGCGUUUCUGUAUUGUCUCUACAUGCAAGUUUAAUACAAUAAGAAAUCAAAUCUAUCAGUAUCAUCCUAUCAGCAACUAGUGAUGCACUAAAGGCAAUAAGAAAACAAACAAACAGAAGAAAACAAUAAAAGAAGAAAACCAAUUGCUAACAGUACAUCCAAAGCAGCCCUCUUAAAUGCUGUACAUGUUUUUGUUGAGUGAGUGAGUGAGAAUACCAAACGCCCGGAAGACUACAUCUGUUUUUCAAAACAAUUAAAUAAAUUUAACAUGUGGGGAGGAUGCAUGAAGUUCCUAAAACCUUCCUGCCAGGAGUGUAAAGUCAAUUGUGGACAGCUCAUGGCUACACUGGACUUAUUAUUCCUGUUAGUGUGUGUCCCCCCCCCCCCCCCCCCCGGAUAUGAGUCGUGUGCUUGAAAAACAGAGAUGUUAACCAAAGACCUCGCAUGUACAAAAAAGAUCUCAGUUCCCCCUCCCACAUGUCAUGUGGUGAGCACUAAUCGAAGUCAGGCUAUGCUUCUCCUUUUAGGCUGGGUAAAUAAUCUCAUUAUUCUCACAAUUAUACUUUAGAGAGGGUACCUUGGAAGCACAGACAGACAUUGCAAACACACCAUAGAAAACAGGCCUUUGUGAGUUCAGUUGAAUGUCACAAGUCUAUUUGAGGUUAUACAUCUACUUUCCAGUAUUGUCUAUCACUUGUUGUCACACUGUUAUGAUAAAGACGAAUAGUGUCUACCCAAACUAGUUUACAGUAGCUGCUCAGACCCACAGGGCUGAGAAAAGUCGCUUGUGGAAACAGAAAGGAAAAUCUUUAGACUUCUAUUCUACAGCACCACAAAGUUAAACAUAGCACCAAGUUGUAAUGGUCAAAGCAACUAUGCCCUAACACACUUGUCUUCAUCAAACUAAUGUAAACACGACUUCCUCCACUGCACGUUCUGUACAUGACUACAGCAUGUCCGUUUUUCAAACUGAAAAGUAAAAAAAAAUUAUAAAAACUUUAGUUUUAUUUGCUUUGGACACGUGAAGAUGAA
RNAcentral lists this long non-coding RNA (2812 nucleotides) under Oryzias sinensis (Chinese medaka). RNAcentral describes it as "lncRNA (ENSOSIG00000000021.1)". Lineage: Eukaryota; Metazoa; Chordata; Actinopteri; Beloniformes; Adrianichthyidae. The record is from RNAcentral.